Molecule: unclassified non-coding RNA, 379 nt
Filed under: uncultured Pseudomonadota bacterium
Lineage: Bacteria; Pseudomonadati; Pseudomonadota
Description: uncultured proteobacterium contains 16S-23S intergenic spacer region
Source: RNAcentral
UCCGGUUUGUCACCGGCAGUCUCCUUAGAGUUCCCAGCACGACCUGAUGGCAACUAAGGACAAGGGUUGCGCUCGUUACGGGACUUAACCCAACAUCUCACGACACGAGCUGACGACAGCCAUGCAGCACCUGUCACCUGGUUCCCGAAGGCACACCCGUAUCUCUACAGGCUUCCAGGGAUGUCAAGAGUAGGUAAGGUUCUUCGCGUUGCGUCGAAUUAAACCACAUGCUCCACCGCUUGUGCGGGCCCCCGUCAAUUCAUUUGAGUUUUAGCCUUGCGGCCGUACUCCCCAGGCGGGGCGCUUAAUGCGUUAGCUGCGGCACGGAGAACAAUGAAGCCCCCCACACCUAGUUCGCACCGUUUACGGCCAGGACUAC